AGUGUAAUUAAGUGGGAUACAGGAAUCUGACAAAACAGUAAGCGGGAUCCGGGAUCAGAACCCCCCAAUGACACCCCCUUAAUAAGAACUAGUAGAGUAACUUAGAUCAUGUUAUUAAGCCUUUACAUGUCCAAGAAGAAAACAUGAUCAUGCAUUUGAAUUAGUGAGAGAGAGAAAACAUGCGUGUAACGAUGAAUCAACUUUCGUUAAAACACGCUUCAUGGCAUUACAAUGACUGGUAUACAAUGUCUAUUCUGGACACAAAAGUCAUACAACAAGCUAAGCAAUUAAAGUAUGUUGAGUCAUUUUAGCGUGCCAAUAUUGUUUUAAAUCAGUGACGCAAAUUAUCAGGCAGGCCAUCUAGUGGUGAGUUUACUCGUAAUAAAUAACUUCAAGGACAAGCCGC
This 406-nucleotide long non-coding RNA is filed under the name Mytilus galloprovincialis (Mediterranean mussel). Lineage: Eukaryota; Metazoa; Mollusca; Bivalvia; Mytilida; Mytilidae. The record is from RNAcentral.